This 460-nucleotide ribosomal RNA is filed under the name uncultured bacterium. RNAcentral describes it as "partial 16S ribosomal RNA". It matches the Rfam family "Bacterial small subunit ribosomal RNA", at positions 338 to 795 of the family's 1533-position model. The record is from RNAcentral.
CCUACGGGAGGCUGCAGUGAGGCAUAUUGGUCAAUGGCCGGAAGGCUGAACCAGCCAUGCCGCGUGAAGGUCAGUGCCCUAUGGGCGUUAAACUUCUUUUGUGCGGGAGCAAUCAUGGUCACGUGUGGCCAGACGAGAGUUCCGUACGAAUAAGCAUCGGCUCACUCCGUGCCAGCAGCCGCGGUAAUACGGGGGGUGCAAGCGUUAUUCGGAUUUAUUGGGUUUAAAGGGUGCGUAGGCUGUGGGGUCAGUCAGCGGUGAAAUGCCCCCGCUCAAAGGGGUGAAGUGCCAUUGAUACUGCCUAGCUGGAAUGCGGAUGCCGUGGGAGGAAUGUGUGGUGUAGCGGUGAAAUGCAUAGAUAUCACACAGAACACCGAUUGCGAAGGCAUCUCACGAAUCCGCGAUUGACGCUGAUGCACGAAAGCGUGGGUAUCAAACAGGAUUAGAUACCCGUGUAGUC